UACGGAGGGUGCGAGCGUUGUUCGGAAUCACUGGGCGUAAAGCGCGUGUAGGCGGCCCACUAAGUCUGAUGUGAAAGCCCGGGGCUCACCCCCGGAAGUGCAUUGGAAACUGGUGGACUCGAGUCCCGGAGAGGAGAGUGGAAUUCCUGGUGUAGCGGUGAAAUGCGUAGAUAUCAGGAGGAACACCGGUGGCGAAGGCGGCUCUCUGGACGGUGACUGACGCUGAGACGCGAAAGCGUGGGGAGCAAACAGG
RNAcentral lists this ribosomal RNA (253 nucleotides) under uncultured bacterium. RNAcentral's name for it is "partial 16S ribosomal RNA". It matches the Rfam family "Bacterial small subunit ribosomal RNA", at positions 524 to 776 of the family's 1533-position model. RNAcentral also lists the same sequence under 1 other name. The record is from RNAcentral.